Dama dama (fallow deer) is the source of this 757-nucleotide long non-coding RNA. RefSeq lists it as uncharacterized. Lineage: Eukaryota; Metazoa; Chordata; Mammalia; Artiodactyla; Cervidae. The record is from RefSeq and is a predicted model, not a curated record. The transcript is spliced from 3 exons.
AGUCUGCGGAGCACAGUACUCAAGCCCAUGGCUUCGGCAUAUUCUGAGCCCCAGCUUCCAGCUGCAGGAAGAGAACAGACACGGAAAGAUGACCAAAGCAGACCCCCGGUUGCCUCCGCGAGAUUUCACUCUCUGCCCUUACAAAGAGGAGAAAGCUGUAGUCUUAUCCUUCUCCCUGCAGCCACAAUGUGACUUCCUAGGAAAAGCCAAAAGGACGAUUCUUUUAUAAUUAUGAAGAGGAAGUUAGACAGCUUCUGAAAGUAAAUGCCCAUAUUCCAUUUUCUAGCAGGCUGCUGUGGCUUGUCUUCUGUCUGGGAACUGGAUAAAAACAUCAACGAAUACUCCAAAGAGCCUAACACAGUAACAGAAGAGCUUCCCAGGUGGUGUCAGUGGUAAAGAACCCGCCUGCCAAUGCAGGAGAAGUCAGAGACGCGGGUUCAACCCCCAUGUUGGGAAGAUCCCCUGGAGAAGGGCAUGGCAACUCAUUCCAGUAUUCUUGCCUGGAAAAAUCCCAUGGACAGAGGAGCCUGGCCAGCUAUGGUCCAUAGGAUCCCACAGAGUCUGACAAGACUAAAGUGACUUAGCACACACGAACAAUAAUAGAAAAAUUAUAUUUGAUCAGUAAAUAUUGAAUGAAUGAAUGAAUAUGUUUCACCUUGAAUUGAAAAUGUUUGUCCACAAAUUAUUUGGACUAGCUAGAUAAUAAAUCGAUGUCUUCCACAGUCAGUCCUAAUGUUAAAUAAAAGCCUUUGGUAUC